ACGGAAGGCAGCAGUGAGGAAUAUUGGUCAAUGGACGGAAGUCUGAACCAGCCAAGUCGCGUGAAGGAUGAAGGUAUUAUGUAUUGUAAACUUCUUUAGCAGUGGAGUAAUAAGGGGAUCGCGAUCCCUGAUACAAGUACACUGAGAAUAAGGAUCGGCUAACUCCGUGCCAGCAGCCGCGGUAAUACGGAGGAUCCGAGCGUUAUCCGGAUUUAUUGGGUUUAAAGGGUGCGCAGGCGGCUUUUUAAGUCAGUGGUUAAAUCGUGACGCUCAACGUCAUCACGCCAUUGAUACUGGAGAGCUUGAUUGCGGUCGAGGUUUGCGGAAUUCGUUGUGUAGCGGUGAAAUGCAUAGAUAUGACGAAGAACACCGAUUGCGUAGGCAGCAGACCAGGCCGUAAAUGACGCUCAUGCACGAAAGUGCGGGGAUCGAACAGGAUUAGAUACCCUGGUA
RNAcentral lists this ribosomal RNA (453 nucleotides) under uncultured Porphyromonadaceae bacterium. Its description in RNAcentral is "partial 16S ribosomal RNA". It matches the Rfam family "Bacterial small subunit ribosomal RNA", at positions 341 to 792 of the family's 1533-position model. The record is from RNAcentral. Lineage: Bacteria; Pseudomonadati; Bacteroidota; Bacteroidia; Bacteroidales; Porphyromonadaceae.